This 403-nucleotide ribosomal RNA is filed under the name uncultured bacterium. RNAcentral's name for it is "bacterial SSU rRNA". It matches the Rfam family "Bacterial small subunit ribosomal RNA", at positions 355 to 775 of the family's 1533-position model. The record is from RNAcentral.
UGGGGAAUAUUGGACAAUGGGCGCAAGCCUGAUCCAGCCAUGCCGCGUGAGUGACGAAGGCCUUAGGGUUGUAAAGCUCUUUUGGCGGGGACGAUAAUGACGGUACCCGCAGAAUAAGCUCCGGCUAACUUCGUGCCAGCAGCCGCGGUAAUACGAAGGGAGCUAGCGUUGUUCGGAAUCACUGGGCGUAAAGCGCACGUAGGCGGGUUUGUCAGUCAGGGGUGAAAUCCCGGAGCUCAACUCCGGAACUGCCCUUGAUACAGCAAGCCUUGAGUCCGGAAGAGGUAGGUGGAAUUCCUAGUGUAGAGGUGAAAUUCGUAGAUAUUAGGAAGAACACCAGUGGCGAAGGCGGCCUACUGGUCCGGCACUGACGCUGAGGUGCGAAAGCGUGGGGAGCAAACAG